Molecule: ribosomal RNA, 515 nt
Filed under: uncultured bacterium
Lineage: Bacteria
Description: partial 16S ribosomal RNA
Rfam family: Bacterial small subunit ribosomal RNA
Source: RNAcentral
GACGAACGCUGGCGGCGUGCCUAAUACAUGCAAGUCGAGCGAUGAUUAAAGAUAGCUUGCUAUUUUUAUGAAGAGCGGCGAACGGGUGAGUAACGCGUGGGAAAUCUGCCGAGUAGCGGGGGACAACGUUUGGAAACGAACGCUAAUACCGCAUAACAAUGAGAAUCGCAUGAUUCUUAUUUGAAAGAAGCAAUUGCUUCACUACUUGAUGAUCCCGCGUUGUAUUAGCUAGUUGGUAGUGUAAAGGACUACCAAGGCGAUGAUACAUAGCCGACCUGAGAGGGUGAUCGGCCACACUGGGACUGAGACACGGCCCAGACUCCUACGGGAGGCAGCAGUAGGGAAUCUUCGGCAAUGGGGGCAACCCUGACCGAGCAACGCCGCGUGAGUGAAGAAGGUUUUCGGAUCGUAAAACUCUGUUGUUAGAGAAGAACGUUAAGUAGAGUGGAAAAUUACUUAAGUGACGGUAUCUAACCAGAAAGGGACGGCUAACUACGUGCCAGCCGCCGCGGUAA